Molecule: long non-coding RNA, 797 nt
Filed under: Rattus norvegicus (Norway rat)
Lineage: Eukaryota; Metazoa; Chordata; Mammalia; Rodentia; Muridae
Description: long non-coding RNA NONRATT027122
Source: RNAcentral
CACUACAGCAAACUACAUAUGUUAGAUUUCCCUAAAUCGUCUUGUUGCGCUCUUUGCAGCUCUCCGGUAUACUGUUGAUGUCUUCAAACAAGUUGCCCAAAAGUUCCUGGAUUUUAGAGUCCAUGUUCCACCACUGCCCUUCUUCACCUCGGAGACCCGAAGACCUGCUCCAGGAUCCUCCCAGCCACCCUCACUAGAACCCCUGCCGCACACUCCGCUCUGCCAUGCGUUUUAUCCCAGAUUCCCUAGGAGAUUUGCCCUACCCUUGUUCUGUAGCUAAUCCCAGCCCCGCCCCACACCCUAGCCCCGCCCACAGCACCAGCCCCGCCCUAUACCCCAAGCCCCGCCCACACUGGGGUCUUGCUUCAGAAGUCCUCCUUCGGCGCCAAACCAUAGAUAUUCGACGACUGUGUUGUCGGCCUCCUCCACGUUCUGGGUCCGCGUUGGAAUUCUGGACUGGACGAGAAAGCCGGAGCGCGAGUCGUAAAGGAUUCACCUUGAAAAUCUCGGGGAGGCUGUGGGUUCGAGUGGGGAAUUGAUUAUUUUACUGCUGCUCUCCUUUCAACAUGAAGGAGGAUCAAGUUGUGCAGGAAGAAUCGGGAUUCCAAGAUGAGGAGGAGUCUUUGUUUCAAGACAUUGACCUGUUACAAAAACACGGAAUCAAAAUGACCAGAGCAAAUCAUGGUGGCAGAAAUGUAGACUAUCAAAAAAAUAGAAGCAGGAGAGAAUCCCCGCCUUUGGUGAUGUAGUUAUUUGUGUUCUUCAGGAGCAGACGGAAAAUAAACUUUGAAAACUGU